AACAGAUGCUGAGGCCCAGAUUUCCCUGCCAAGCACUCCAAGGCUCAUCAUGCUCGGAGAGUCCAUUCUGGGGGCAAAAAAUGGAUGCUUUCCAUCGAGGGCAGAGUUCUCCUCCAAUUGAGUGACCGUUGUGAUUUCACUUCUGCUCUAGCCAUGUAUGAUGCAGCCACUACAUUGGAAUUUAUCCAGAGGGUAGAGUCCAGCCCAGGAAGUCAACUAGUUCAGGUCCAGUUUUAAAAGAAUAAUAGUUCUGAAAAAAACGUCUUGGAGAAAAACAAUAUUCAGGUUUGAAAUCCUGCUGUAAAUGUAAAUCAUUUAAUUUUUAUGCAUUUGUAAUUUACCAGAAACAUUUGAAUAAAUAUUGAUUGUUUUGUGUGUUCAGAAAAGUGUUUUUGUAUGAAGUGUUGAAAUUAAAUGAAAUAUUCACAGAAAAAUGUUAACAUAUUAAAAAAAAAUGUAUGUGUUCAGAAAAGUUUUGAGAUGUUCACAGAAAAAAUGUAACAUGUUGAAAAAAAUGUAU
This is a non-coding RNA of Paramisgurnus dabryanus, 520 nucleotides long. NCBI's taxonomy places the organism in Eukaryota, Metazoa, Chordata, Actinopteri, Cypriniformes, Cobitidae. The record is from RefSeq and is a predicted model, not a curated record.